CUUAGAACAUCCAUCUUCUUGGCCUAUUGUUAGAAAGUUGUUUAUUGUGAGCUCAUAAAACUGUGAGGGGAUGGUCUUUGCUAGAGUUGCUGUAGAUGGAAAAUGAGAAGGGGAGGCAAGGAACAAGGAGGAGCCCACUCCCGCCCUGUAGGACCCUCCAUCAACAUAGAUGUUGGAAGAGUGGUUUAGCAAGCUCCAUUAGUCUGCAGUGGAGACACUUCUCGGGUCAACUCUGCCAGGAAGAUUUGUCUUCUAUUAGAACAAUAUCCUAACCUGCCGAGCAAGAGCAAGGUCCUGCAUUCAAUCCCUGGUACCCCACAUCAGAAAAACUAAAAUAAAAAAAAAAACAAUAUCCCGCACCCUCCAGUGUAUCUAGUGUUGCUUUGUCCAUUUUUCUCUGUUGAACAAAGUAGGCGAAUGCUUUGCAAGCCAUGUAAAUCAUUCCAGGUUCUUUCAAGGUUUCUGGCAUUGCAGAUCCACUUUUAGUCCCCUCCACACAUACAUCUGCCCCAUUAUCUUUGCCAGCCUCAUUGUAUUUUGCCACAGACUGGAGUUUCUGUAAAAAUCAUAGAGAAGGUGAUAAAUUAGGCUCUGGCUGUAAUUCCCUCCCACACCUUCAUAAGAAAUGACAGAUUCUGAAAUGCAUCGCGUUGGUACACCAUGCACUUCUUCCUGCAUAACAG
Molecule: long non-coding RNA, 683 nt
Filed under: Fukomys damarensis (Damara mole-rat)
Lineage: Eukaryota; Metazoa; Chordata; Mammalia; Rodentia; Bathyergidae
Description: lncRNA (ENSFDAG00000033012.1)
Source: RNAcentral